RNAcentral lists this transfer RNA (119 nucleotides) under Muribaculaceae bacterium. Its description in RNAcentral is "tRNA-OTHER". The record is from RNAcentral. Lineage: Bacteria; Pseudomonadati; Bacteroidota; Bacteroidia; Bacteroidales; Muribaculaceae.
GCAAGUAUAAGCCUACGAUAGUGGUGCCGUAGGGGUUACUGACGAACAUGGGUUUAGAAUAGAUUGAUUUAAUGUCGGUAGCUGUUGACCGCUUGAGGGUUCGACUCCCUCUGCUUGCA